Molecule: transfer RNA, 70 nt
Filed under: Dipodomys ordii (Ord's kangaroo rat)
Lineage: Eukaryota; Metazoa; Chordata; Mammalia; Rodentia; Heteromyidae
Rfam family: tRNA
About the family: Transfer RNA (tRNA) molecules are approximately 80 nucleotides in length.
Source: Rfam by way of RNAcentral
GGGAAAGUGGCUCAGCAGUAGAGUGCAUGCCUUGCAAGCAUGAGGCCCUGGGUUCGAUUCCUCAGCACCA